UGGGGAAUAGUGUAAUGGUAGCACCACAGAUUCUGAAUCUGUUAGUCUAGGUUCAAAUCCUAGUUCCUCAGC
The sequence is a transfer RNA, 72 nucleotides long. It matches the Rfam family "tRNA". Rfam says of the family: Transfer RNA (tRNA) molecules are approximately 80 nucleotides in length.